CCUACGGGAGGCAGCAGUGAGGAAUAUUGGUCAAUGGCCGGAAGGCUGAACCAGCCAAGCCGCGUGAGGGACGACUGCCCUAUGGGUUGUAAACCUCUUUUAUAAGGGAAGAAUAAAUGAUACGAGUAGCAUGAUUCCUGUACCUUAUGAAUAAGCAUCGGCUAACUCCGUUCCAGCAGCCGAGGUACUACGGGGGAUGCGAUCUGUAUCCGGAUUUAUUGGGUUUAAAGGGUGUGUCGGGGGUUUUUUAAGUUAGUGGUAAAACGUCGGGGCUUCACCUUGAUUUGCCAUUAAUACUGGAAGACUCGAGUUCAGUCGAGGUAGGCGGAAUAAGUGAUGUAGCGGUGAAAUGCUUAGAGAUA
RNAcentral lists this ribosomal RNA (362 nucleotides) under uncultured bacterium. RNAcentral's name for it is "partial 16S ribosomal RNA". It matches the Rfam family "Bacterial small subunit ribosomal RNA", at positions 338 to 698 of the family's 1533-position model. The record is from RNAcentral.